Long non-coding RNA from Camelus dromedarius (Arabian camel), 2978 nucleotides. RefSeq lists it as uncharacterized. The record is from RefSeq and is a predicted model, not a curated record. NCBI's taxonomy places the organism in Eukaryota, Metazoa, Chordata, Mammalia, Artiodactyla, Camelidae. The transcript is spliced from 4 exons.
CCCAAAAAGACUGUUAUCCAUCUUUUCCCAGACUUCUGUUAGGCGUUCUGGGCUGGCACAGAGGGGAGCAAUGCACCGAUUUCUGCAUGGACCCUGCAGGAAUUGCAGUCUGGGAUGAGGUUUACAGGAACACAAGUUAAAUCAGACUUACGUGGAGUUUUCACCAGAUUUCAAGGUUAUUGGAGAACACCUGCCACUGGCAAGAGUGUCCCUGAAUGCCAUCCCAGAGACCCACUGAACUUCCUGCUCUCAUUGUGCUCUUCCCAAGCUGAAGAAUCUGAGGUAAGCUGCCUCUGGCAGCAUCUCUACCUUUCUCCAGGAUGCUCCUCAGCCAUGAUGUGUGCGUGGCAUUUCUCCUUUCUGAGAAGCUGUCCUAUUAUAAGCAAUUACUAUUCCUUCCCUAGCUACGUAUUAUCCUUUUAGUAACCAAUAUGUUAGUUAUGUUUGGGUAUUUCCUCCAAUAAGAGCUAUGGUUGUCCCCUCAAAUUAAAUAAUUACAUUUUCCAGCUAUAAGCUUAAGAGCUCAGUGGAUCCAGCCUACCUGAGUUUAAAUCUUGACUCUAACUCUCAGUAGUUUUGUGAACUUGGGCAAGUUCCUUAACCCUCUUGCAUCCCAGUUUCCUCAUCUGAAAAAUGAGAUCAUAAUUAUUAGGAUCUAACCCAUAGUGCUGUCUGGAGAGCAGGUGAGAUAAUACAUAUAAAAUGCGUAGAAUAGCCGUUAACAUAUAGUGAAUGGUAGCUUUUUUUAUUGCUAUUGUUUGUAUUGUCAUUUUGUUUGUGAUUGACAUUUUCUGAUGUCCUGCCCAGACCAUUUGUGUUGAAAUCACCUUUCCCUCCCGCCCAGUACCUGGUUUGGAUAAAGAACACUAGACUAGUGUUACAGUCUAAAACUCACACAACGUUUCGUCUCCUACUGAAGCUGGACGCUGCCCCAACAUUCAGAAUAGGACGGAGACUUGAGAACGUCUGAAGGAGAUUUACUGCUGUUUAAAAAGGGAGUGGGUAAAUCGUCAUCAGCAAAGGAAACCCUGAGUGUCUCUUCCUGACCUACGGGCAGCAUCCGAAGCAGCAGGGGGAGUUUGUUGUCCGAGGACGCCAGGCAAGGACACACGGCAGACAGCAGACCCCCAGCUGUGCCCAAGCCUCUCUCCUUUUUGAGAUAAUAGCGCUCUGCCAUCCAACGAGAGAGACGUCUGGUUCCCUCAAGAAAGUUGCCAGGAAAAAUUGAUCGGCAAACGAAUAAUGUUUUUCUAAGCCUUGGUACCUGGAAUAUUUCUCUCAUACAGUGUUUGAAAUGAACUUUUUCACUCGGGAACUUGGAUGAGAAUCAGAUGGGGGUGGAUAGACUAGGGGUGAAGACUGUCAGCCUCCGCUUUCCGUCCCAGCCACCCGCCUACCACUGUGUCAUUUCUGCUGUGUCACUUUGGGCAAAUCACUCCCCUUCUCUCAGCAUCGAUUUUACCUGCUGGAAAAAAAAAAAAAAAAAAAAGACUAAUACUGCUUCCUGGGGCUGUUUUGAAAAAUUAAAUGAGAUAAUUUAUCAGUAGAAGGAUGUAAACGUUUAGUGUUUUAACAGUGUCAAUUAUGGGGGUGGGGUUUGUGGCUUUCCUUUCUUCACUGCUUCAGAAGGUGUAGGUCACUUCCUCUCUCCUUUCUUUUGAGAAACAGUGAACCAGUUUUUCUGUAGCUAAUGACUUGGGGUUUGGUUUUACCAGCUGUAAGAUUCAUUGUGAACAGAGAACACAGCCUUGGGAUUGAGGAUGAAGAUGGUGCCGGGGUGUGAGCCUUGGGGGAUGGAGGAUGGAGAGGGAUAAUGGGGACAAGGAUGGUGGGGUUCUGAUGCCCUGGGUGGCAUCCUGGGGAGUUGUUUCUGGGGCUGUGGGACGUGCCAGGUGAGGACAUAGAGGAGACUCCAGGGAGCGCCGUGAUGGGCAUUCUCACCACCAGACCCCCUCGCCUCUGAGCAUGCCUUCCUCUGGGACAUUCGCCAAGUGGGGUUCCAUUUUCAGUGGGAAACGGAUGGCCAGCCAGGCCUGCAGACUGCGCAGCCGUGACUGUGGUUUUCCCUAGUUGUUGAGAAAGCAAUUAUAAACGCAGCUUGUUUUUAAUUAUUUUUGAAGUGGCUACUCAAAAGCAGCUCUCUGAGGUAAAGUAUCACUUAGAUUCUCAUCUAAAUUUCUCUUCAACCAUCGUCCUCAGGGAUUCUCAUCUUGGAUAUAGGCAGACUCCUGCUGGAAAUGACACUUCCUCUGGAGAAUGAUCCUCUUCUGUCUGAGAAGGACAUUUCCUCCGGGAUACACAAGGAGUGUCCAGAGAGGAUGGCAAGAUGGGGCCAUCAGAUCACAUUCACGUUCCCUCUUGUUUUUCCAGUCACUUUCCUCUACAUUCUGUACAUCUUCUCUCCAGCGAAGCCAACACCUAACUUCUAGAAUGAGCUCUGGUUGAUUUUGAGCUCCUACAUUAAUGAUGCGACCCCAGGAAAUUCCUCCAGAUGGGAUCUUCUCCCCAGUCAUUCGCGAGUCAACUUCUACAUUUCUCAUUUUAUAAAACGAAACAGAAAUGAGGUUGUUAAUGUGGUUGUGAAGCCACGGGCCCUGAGUACCCAGUGGAAAACGACCUUGGAAAGAAACUCCUGCAUCGGGGCCAGAAACACUCCUCAGUCAACACUCAUUAAAGCCCUGUUCCCCCAGCACCGAAGGUUUCCCUGCAGCCAGUGUGACUGUGGCUCCACUCCGGGAAGAAAGCUCAGGGGAACACGAGACGUGAAGGUUCCUGCCUGAGACCCCCCCUCUUCUACUGACUUUCCCGCAGACCCCAAAACAUGUGUCAGCCGGAGGCCAGGGGAAUCAUUCUGUCCUCUAAGCGCUGCAUUUGCUUCUGUUUCCCCUGACACUGGGGCUCCUGUCCUGUUUCAGGUGUUGUUAGUGGAAGGGAAAAAAACCACAGCAAAGGGGGAAAUUGUGGAAGAAAAGCUUCAA